This 584-nucleotide ribosomal RNA is filed under the name uncultured bacterium. RNAcentral's name for it is "bacterial SSU rRNA". It matches the Rfam family "Bacterial small subunit ribosomal RNA", at positions 242 to 842 of the family's 1533-position model. The record is from RNAcentral.
UAGCCAGUUGGCGGGGUAACGGCCCACCAAAGCGACGAUCAGUAGCCGGCCUGAGAGGGUGAACGGCCACAUUGGGACUGAGACACGGCCCAAACUCCUACGGGAGGCAGCAGUGGGGAAUAUUGCACAAUGGGGGAAACCCUGAUGCAGCGACGCCGCGUGAGUGAAGAAGUAUCUCGGUAUGUAAAGCUCUAUCAGCAGGGAAGAAAAUGACGGUACCUGACUAAGAAGCCCCGGCUAACUACGUGCCAGCAGCCGCGGUAAUACGUAGGGGGCAAGCGUUAUCCGGAUUUACUGGGUGUAAAGGGAGCGUAGACGGCAGCGCAAGUCUGGAGUGAAAUGCCGGGGCCCAACCCCGGAACUGCUUUGGAAACUGUGCAGCUCGAGUGCAGGAGAGGUAAGCGGAAUUCCUAGUGUAGCGGUGAAAUGCGUAGAUAUUAGGAGGAACACCAGUGGCGAAGGCGGCUUACUGGACUGUAACUGACGUUGAGGCUCGAAAGCGUGGGGAGCAAACAGGAUUAGAUACCCUGGUAGUCCACGCCGUAAACGAUGAUUACUAGGUGUCGGGGGGCCAAGGCCCUCCG